Long non-coding RNA from Oncorhynchus keta (chum salmon), 358 nucleotides. RefSeq lists it as uncharacterized. The transcript is spliced from 3 exons. The record is from RefSeq and is a predicted model, not a curated record. Lineage: Eukaryota; Metazoa; Chordata; Actinopteri; Salmoniformes; Salmonidae.
AGCAACAUGCGUGUUUCCCACAACAACACGUGGUUUGUAAAACAUAUAAAUCCGCCCCCAGUCCCCUCAAUCAGUCUUUCUCACCUACUGCGGUUGGAGGAGAAGUGGACAUCAGCACAUGUGGACGAUUUCGCCAUAAACUACCAAUUGAUUCAUUUUGACAAGAAUCUAAACUCAGUCCUUGCUGUGCUGGAAAAUCGGGUAAUGUGAACUGCCAUUUUAGGACUGAUCACCGCUUCCAUUCAACCCCUGGAUCUUCAUGCGUUUUGUCUGCGGCACUAUCGAACUGGUUCGAAAUUGUACAAAAAUAUUACUUUUGGUUCAAAGUGUUCAAUAAAAGCAGUGAAUGUUAACUGUU